GAUGAACGCUGGCGGCGUGCCUAAUACAUGCAAGUCGAGCGAACAGACGAGGAGCUUGCUCCUCUGACGUUAGCGGCGGACGGGUGAGUAACACGUGGAUAACCUACCUAUAAUACUGGGAUAACUUCGGGAAACCGGAUCUAAUACCGGAUAAUAUAUUGAACCGCAUGGUUCAAUAGUGAAAGACGGUUUUGCUGUCACUUAUAGAUGGAUCCGCGCCGCAUUAGCUAGUUGGUAAGGUAACGGCUUACCAAGGCGACGAUGCGUAGCCGACCUGAGAGGGUGAUCAGCCACACUGGAACUGAGACACGGUCCAGACUCCUACGGGAGGCAGCAGUAGGGAAUCUUCCGCAAUGGGCGAAAGCCUGACGGAGCAACGCCGCGUGAGUGAUGAAGGUCUUCGGAUCGUAAAACUCUGUUAUUAGGGAAGAACAAAUGUGUAAGUAACUAUGCACGUCUUGACGGUACCUAAUCAGAAAGCCACGGCUAACUACGUG
Molecule: ribosomal RNA, 497 nt
Filed under: uncultured bacterium
Lineage: Bacteria
Description: partial 16S ribosomal RNA
Rfam family: Bacterial small subunit ribosomal RNA
Source: RNAcentral